CGAAAACCAACAGCCGCCGCCCAGAUCAAUACCCCCACCCACGGCCGCCGCGGUCGCCGUUGCUGCUCCCCCAAACCCCAGCCGGCGACCCCUCCCAUACUCUCCACUCCAUGGCCGCGGAUCCGCUCGAGCUGCUCAGCCCGGGGUCAGAUCCGCCCUCCCUUCAUUAGGCCCCGCGCUGGAAACCCUAGCCGCCCGGCCAUGGUGACCGACGGCGACGACGCCGGCGGUUGGUGAUGGGACUACCACUUCUGCCAUCCUUGCUCAAGGAUGAUUACCAAGGGUCUUAAGAUUGUAGCUGUUCAUGCUAAUCCAGUACAGAUUACUCUCCCCAAUUCCGCUGCCACAUCCAAGAGUUCGAGCGCACAAGUGCAAGCGCCACUCUGACCCCC
Molecule: long non-coding RNA, 392 nt
Organism: Triticum aestivum (bread wheat)
Lineage: Eukaryota; Viridiplantae; Streptophyta; Magnoliopsida; Poales; Poaceae
Exons: 3
Source: RefSeq, a predicted model, not a curated record